Molecule: ribosomal RNA, 466 nt
Filed under: Vreelandella stevensii
Lineage: Bacteria; Pseudomonadati; Pseudomonadota; Gammaproteobacteria; Oceanospirillales; Halomonadaceae
Description: partial 16S ribosomal RNA
Rfam family: Bacterial small subunit ribosomal RNA
Source: RNAcentral
CCUACGGGGGGCUGCAGUGGGGAAUAUUGGACAAUGGGCGAAAGCCUGAUCCAGCCAUGCCGCGUGUGUGAAGAAGGCCUUCGGGUUGUAAAGCACUUUCAGUGGGGAAGAAAGCCUUGGGGCUAAUACCCUCGAGGAAGGACAUCACCCACAGAAGAAGCACCGGCUAACUCCGUGCACAGCAGCCGCGGUAAUACGGAGGGUGCGAGCGUUAAUCGGAAUUACUGGGCGUAAAGCGCGCGUAGGCGGUCUGAUAAGCCGGUUGUGAAAGCCCCGGGCUCAACCUGGGAACGGCAUCCGGAACUGUCAGGCUAGAGUGCAGGAGAGGAAGGUAGAAUUCCCGGUGUAGCGGUGAAAUGCGUAGAGAUCGGGAGGAAUACCAGUGGCGAAGGCGGCCUUCUGGACUGACACUGACGCUGAGGUGCGAAAGCGUGGGUAGCAAACAGGAUUAGAUACCCUAGUAGUC